RNAcentral lists this transfer RNA (69 nucleotides) under Pseudodiamesa sp. 1XL. RNAcentral describes it as "tRNA-Gln". The record is from RNAcentral. Lineage: Eukaryota; Metazoa; Arthropoda; Insecta; Diptera; Chironomidae.
UAUGUUUUGGUGUAAGAUGCACAGAAGUUUUUGAUACUUUGGGGAACAGUUUAAUUCUGUUAAAUAUAG